Molecule: ribosomal RNA, 476 nt
Filed under: uncultured organism
Description: bacterial SSU rRNA
Rfam family: Bacterial small subunit ribosomal RNA
Source: RNAcentral
GAUGAACGCUAGCGGCAGGCCUAACACAUGCAAGUCGAGGGGUAUAGUAGCAAUACUAGAGACCGGCGCACGGGUGCGUAACGCGUAUGCAAUCUACCUAUUGCUGAGGGAUAGCCCAGAGAAAUUUGGAUUAAUACCUCAUAGUAUAACAAGGAGGCAUCUUUUAGUUAUUAAAGAUUUAUCGGCAAUAGAUGAGCAUGCGUCCCAUUAGUUAGUUGGUAAGGUAACGGCUUACCAAGACGAUGAUGGGUAGGGGUCCUGAGAGGGAGAUCCCCCACACUGGUACUGAGACACGGACCAGACUCCUACGGGAGGCAGCAGUGAGGAAUAUUGGGCAAUGCUCGCGAGAGUGACCCAGCCAUGCCGCGUGCAGGAUGACGGUCCUAUGGAUUGUAAACUGCUUUUAUACGGGAAGAAACCCUUUCUUGCGAGAGAGCUUGACGGUACCGUAUGAAUAAGGAUCGGCUAACUCCGUG